Chinchilla lanigera (long-tailed chinchilla) is the source of this 2175-nucleotide long non-coding RNA. RefSeq lists it as uncharacterized. The record is from RefSeq and is a predicted model, not a curated record. The transcript is spliced from 3 exons. Lineage: Eukaryota; Metazoa; Chordata; Mammalia; Rodentia; Chinchillidae.
AGGAAAUGAUCUUCAGGGGUGGGCAGGGAAGGCUCCAAAAAGGGGGGGAUCGCUGUGUGGUUGGAGUAGUUAUGAGCUCCAGGCUCCCCAGCACUGGCCUUCGAAGCAGCCAGGAGAAUCCUGCAGGGAGGACACACCCAGCGCUAAGUGCUUUUGUAGGCAAAAGAGGCUCUGCCAGGCAUAUUGUUCUUCAAGUCUGAUGUCUAUUUGAUGGGCUCUCCCUGGCCCUAUGAGACAGAAUGAAUUAUUUUUGUCUGAGUAAAUCAAAACCUCGUCAAAGUCUUCAUACCUAACACCUAUGCUAUAGUUAAUCAGACGACACUGUCGUUAAUGUAAGGAAUUCAGAGCUUGGCAAAUUGAGGAGAAGUUUGUUUUGGAACAGGCCAGGCACCAGGAAGCUGGAGUCUUCAGGAAUGCAGAAGCCGCAUUCAGUUCCUAGGAAGUUGGGGAAAAUCUUCUGCAAGGAGUUCUUUGAAGGAAAUAACAAGUGAAGCCCCGUGGAUAGAAGACUGAACUAUAUGUCUCCUUAUUAUUCAAAAGUCACUCUGGAGCCAAACUGAGGGAAGCAUUUCCUUACCAUGCUGCUGAAAACUGUGGUUCCAUCCUGCCAAGAACAUCCUGUCAAUCUCAGUAAUGGAAAUAAUCUUGGACAGUUAAGUAAUUGGCUAUAUACAUGGUAAAUACCCUAAAAGUGUUUGCAGAUUUCAUCAAAAGCCCAAAUAUUGUUUUACUUAAAACUAAGAACAUGGCAAGAAGGAAAUUAGAGGAAGGAAGCAUCCGUUCCCCCCCGCUUUCCAGACUCUCUGUAAUUUUCUAUGACGAUUUGCACUUUGAUUAUGCUUAGUAACGCCAUAUGCUGGAACGGGAUGCAAGAUCAAAGACACCAACCACAGCACUGCAACCCUUGCUGCAGGCAGGAUCAAAUAUUCCUGUUGGUAGAAUGCUAAUAGGUUCGUGAAGACACUCCCCAUGGCCUCCACCACCCCUACUUCAUUUUCAAAAUAUAAUUGAGAAACCUCAAACAUGAAUGUUCUUAGCAUCUCUUUUAUUGUCUGCUGUCACACUCUGCAUAUUGAAAAGAUAUUCUUACCACUUACAUAUUUUGAACUAAGAAUAUUCAAAACCUUACUGCACAUUGUCUAGAUUUAUAGUAUGCAUGGUCUUACCAAUUUAGGGACUAAGGGCUGGCCUAACAUGGCUUUCCUUUUGUUGAUGAGCAUGCAGAUACUUCAUCUUGUUUUUUUCUACAAUCAAAAUUUUCUAAAAUGAACAUUUAUUUUUAACAGUUGAAAAUCUUUGGUAAAAUUAUAUUUGAUAUAUAUUUGAAAUAGUCACUAUUCAUCUUAAUUUAUGAUUGGUUAUAUAAUUACCUGCUGUACAUUGACCUGUGCAAUAAAAUAGAAUUGUGUAUGUAUAGUUGACUUUUGGAUAUCUGAAAUUCCCAAGCUCAAUUGCAGUGGGUAUAAAUGAUCAGCAUAAGGUUGUGCAAACCUGUAAGGAGGUAAUAGUAGCAGGCAGGAUAUGUGAAAUGGGAUCAGAGGGCUCACUGUGCAGAAGCCAAUCUUAUUAGACUAACACUGGUGCUGUGGAGUGAAGUACUGUGGUGUGAGGGCUGUGCGGUCAUAAAAGGAAGGCUCAGGAGAUGACGCUGGAAGAAAGGCUGAGUGCUUGGACUUGUUUUCCUUUAUAUGGAAGUACUUUUUUCUCAUGUACAAAUAAAUGCAUAUCAAAGACUUGAACAUCAUUCUCUCAAAAUUUCAGGAUUUUUUGUUUUAAGGCUGUCUUUUUGUGUAGUAAAGACUUGCCCAAAUGGCUCCCAAGUUGUAUGAGGAUCUCUGUAUGUUUCUUCUUUUGAAGUCUCAUUAAAAGUCAGUUACCAAAUGCAAAAAACAAAAAAAUAAAAAGACUAUAUUUGGUGCCAUAUUCAUUCUUGCUUUUCACAUUUCUCUCCUGUUACAAAUGGUUUCUCUUAUAAACCUUCUUUUAAAAAAUCAAUCUUGGUAAUGGCAAUAACCUUGGAUAGUCUGUUUGCUAUGUAUGGUGUAAAUAUCCCCAAAGCAUUUGCAGAUGCCAUAAAAGCCAAAUGUGAGUCAUAAACUAUGGUAUCUGUAUGAUGAACAUGGGGGUAGGAAGAUGAGGUCCAGUUACAGUAUCUCUGCCCUUCAGCCACAGCAG